This is a long non-coding RNA of Sitophilus oryzae (rice weevil), 315 nucleotides long. RefSeq lists it as uncharacterized. NCBI's taxonomy places the organism in Eukaryota, Metazoa, Arthropoda, Insecta, Coleoptera, Curculionidae. The transcript has 3 exons. The record is from RefSeq and is a predicted model, not a curated record.
AUAAAUUAAAAUUACAGGAUUUUGCUAUAUGGCCAGCCUUACAUAGACAUCAAAUAACGGAUUCUGAGAAAGAAGCCUUACUGCUUAGCAGUUGUAGCAUAGUAUAUAAUUAUGUGGAAAAAAAUCGAGAACUUUAUAUAAACAUAUUAAAGGGUUUCGAAAAAGUUUUAAAGAAUAACCCUCUUCUGUUAGACAACAUUCUUAGUUUAUUUCCUAUACUUCCAGUCAACACAACUGAUGAGGGCAUAACCAACGUCUCGCUAGAUUUGCUCACGUUUAUUAUAAAUACUCCAUUCAGUGAAACUGAUGAUAAAU